UGGGAGAAAACAGGAUUAGAUACCCUGGUAGUCCACGCUGUAAACGAUGAUGAUUAGCUGAUGGGGAACUCAUCGGCACAGCUAACGCAUUAAAUCAUCCGCCUGAGUAGUAUGCUCGCAAGAGUGAAACUUAAAGGAAUUGACGGGGAUCCGCACAAGCGGUGGAGCAUGUGGUUUAAUUUGAAGAUACGCGUAGAACCUUACCCACUCUUGACAUCUUCCGCAAAGCUAUAGAGAUAUAGUGGAGGUCAACGGAAUGACAGAUGGUGCAA
This 272-nucleotide ribosomal RNA is filed under the name Mycoplasmopsis anatis. RNAcentral describes it as "Mycoplasma anatis partial 16S ribosomal RNA". It matches the Rfam family "Bacterial small subunit ribosomal RNA", at positions 762 to 1046 of the family's 1533-position model. The record is from RNAcentral. Lineage: Bacteria; Bacillati; Mycoplasmatota; Mycoplasmoidales; Metamycoplasmataceae.